Molecule: long non-coding RNA, 910 nt
Organism: Hemicordylus capensis (graceful crag lizard)
Lineage: Eukaryota; Metazoa; Chordata; Lepidosauria; Squamata; Cordylidae
Exons: 3
Source: RefSeq, a predicted model, not a curated record
CACCACUGAAGAGGCAAAACCAAAAGGGGUUGCCCCUUUCAAGGAGUCACUUUGGGGGACAGUGAGAGUGAGGGCAAGGUUUCCUGACCCAGUAAUUCAUAUGUGGUGAUUUACUUUGAUUGAAGAAGGACUGAUGCAGCUGAGAGUGCACAGUGAAUGUUAUUACAGGGGCGGAUACAUUCAAUGCAUUAAUGGCAUUCAACAAAGCUAAGAAGGACAGCUAUGGUACAGUUAUACAGAAGUUUGAAAAGUUUUGUAUACUCAGUCAAAUAUUUGAUAAGUACAAAUUCUGCGAGAAGACUUGGAGAACAGUUUUAAAGAUUUUGAAGAAUUUUUAAUCUAUUUAAGCUGAUGAGCUAUGUUAACACCAAUAAAUGGAUUCCAGUUAGAGUGAGCCACUAAAGCUAGGAGCUUUCCUGGCAAAGUGCAUGCAUCUUUGUUGAAGAAGUAUACGUAUCUUUAUUUUAAAAGUCAACACGGGGACUGGACUUCUCAAAAAUAUAGAUUACACGUUGUGUGUACUGCUCAGCACUAUCUGAAAGUAAACUAAACCGUAUAGGUGUACAGAUCAACAAUCAUAUGUGCAUCGUUAAAAUAUUUUAUCUCCACUGAAUACAAUGUGUGAAAAUGCUGUUCAAGUGAAGCAAAAUAUAAAGUAACAAAUAUCAUUAAUUCCUAUCUUAUGUUUAGGGUUUGAGCAGGUUUGGGCUUAUUAGAAGGGCAAAGGUGAAGACACAGCUUAAUGGUGCUUUCUCUAAGGUAAUAACAGCUUUCAUGACAAGAGAGCAUUUUUAAUAGAAUUUCAAGAUGCCUAACUCCAUUGUUCCUGUGUGUGUUAAAAGCAUCGGGUCAACUGAGUGGUCACACAUCUAGAGACACUGUGUCGCUUGCCUAAAGGAAGAUUUUGCCA